RNAcentral lists this transfer RNA (67 nucleotides) under mouse gut metagenome. It matches the Rfam family "tRNA". From Rfam's summary of the family: Transfer RNA (tRNA) molecules are approximately 80 nucleotides in length. Their secondary structure includes four short double-helical elements and three loops (D, anti-codon, and T loops). The record is from RNAcentral. RNAcentral also lists the same sequence under 1 other name.
GGAUUAGCUCAGUCGGUAGAGCGACGCAUUCGUAAUGCGUAGGUCGUGGGUUCGAGUCCCAUUUCCG